RNAcentral lists this ribosomal RNA (484 nucleotides) under uncultured bacterium. Its description in RNAcentral is "bacterial SSU rRNA". It matches the Rfam family "Bacterial small subunit ribosomal RNA", at positions 30 to 507 of the family's 1533-position model. The record is from RNAcentral.
AUUGAACGCUGGCGGCAUGCCUUACACAUGCAAGUCGAACGGCAGCACGGGAGCAAUCCUGGUGGCGAGUGGCGAACGGGUGAGUAAUAUAUCGGAACGUGCCCAGUCGUGGGGGAUAACUACUCGAAAGAGUAGCUAAUACCGCAUACGAUCUACGGAUGAAAGCGGGGGAUCGCAAGACCUCGCGCGAUUGGAGCGGCCGAUAUCAGAUUAGGUAGUUGGUAGGGUAAAAGCCUACCAAGCCUGCGAUCUGUAGCUGGUCUGAGAGGACGACCAGCCACACUGGAACUGAGACACGGUCCAGACUCCUACGGGAGGCAGCAGUGGGGAAUUUUGGACAAUGGGCGCAAGCCUGAUCCAGCAAUGCCGCGUGCAGGACGAAGGCCUUCGGGUUGUAAACUGCUUUUGUACGGAGCGAAAAGGUCUCUACUAAUACUAGGGGCUCAUGACGGUACCGUAAGAAUAAGCACCGGCUAACUACGUG